Molecule: ribosomal RNA, 484 nt
Filed under: uncultured bacterium
Lineage: Bacteria
Description: partial 16S ribosomal RNA
Rfam family: Bacterial small subunit ribosomal RNA
Source: RNAcentral
AUUGAACGCUGGCGGCAUGCCUAACACAUGCAAGUCGAGCGGAUGAAGGGAGCUUGCUCCUGGAUUCAGCGGCGGACGGGUGAGUAAUGCCUAGGAAUCUGCCUGGUAGUGGGGGAUAACGUCCGGAAACGGGCGCUAAUACCGCAUACGACCUGAGGGAGAAAGUGGGGGAUCUUCGGACCUCACGCUAUCAGAUGAGCCUAGGUCGGAUUAGCUAGUUGGUGGGGUAAAGGCCUACCAAGGCGACGUUCCGUAACUGGUCUGAGAGGAUGAUCAGUCACACUGGAACUGAGACACGGUCCAGACUCCUACGGGAGGCAGCAGUGGGGAAUAUUGGACAAUGGGCGAAAGCCUGAUCCAGCCAUGCCGGGUGUGGGAAGAAGGUCUUCGGAUUGUAAAGCACUUUAAGUUGGGAGGAAGGGCAGUAGGUUAAUACCUUGCUGUUUUGACGUUACCAACAGAAUAAGCAACGGCUAACUUCGUG